UGCGCAGGCGGUUUUGUAAGCCAGAUGUGAAAGCCCCGGGCUUAACCUGGGAAUGGCAUUUGGGACUGCAAGGCUAGAGUGCGGCAGAGGAGACUGGAAUUCCUGGUGUAGCAGUGAAAUGCGUAGAUAUCAGGAGGAAUACCGAUGGCGAAGGCAGGUCUCUGGGCUGACACUGACGCUCAUGCACGAAAGCGUGGGGAGCAAACA
Molecule: ribosomal RNA, 207 nt
Filed under: uncultured bacterium
Lineage: Bacteria
Description: partial 16S ribosomal RNA
Rfam family: Bacterial small subunit ribosomal RNA
Source: RNAcentral